RNAcentral lists this ribosomal RNA (278 nucleotides) under uncultured bacterium. RNAcentral's name for it is "partial 16S ribosomal RNA". It matches the Rfam family "Bacterial small subunit ribosomal RNA", at positions 335 to 618 of the family's 1533-position model. The record is from RNAcentral.
ACUCCUACGGGAGGCAGCAGUGGGGAAUAUUGCACAAUGGGCGCAAGCCUGAUGCAGCGACGCCGCGUGAGGGAUGACGGCCUUCGGGUUGUAAACCUCUUUCAGUAGGGAAGAAGCGAAAGUGACGGUACCUGCAGAAGAAGCACCGGCUAACUACGUGCCAGCAGCCGCGGUAAUACGUAGGGUGCGAGCGUUAGUCCGGAAUUAUUGGGCGUAAAGAGGCUUCGGUAGGCAGGUUUGUCGCGGUUCUGUCGUGAAAGUCCGGGGCUUAACCCCGG